RNAcentral lists this long non-coding RNA (2155 nucleotides) under Helianthus annuus (common sunflower). Its description in RNAcentral is "hypothetical non coding rna". Lineage: Eukaryota; Viridiplantae; Streptophyta; Magnoliopsida; Asterales; Asteraceae. The record is from RNAcentral.
CCCAAGGCCAUAUCAAUAUUUACUGCUAACUUUGUAGUUCAUGCAUGAUUAAGUUUUUUGCCUAAAAUCUUUAAUUAAAGAUCCCUUGUUCCCUAGCUAAAAAAGUAUAAUGAAAUUUUUCCCGAAUCAGAGUACCCGAUCAUGACUUCUUGUUUACCGUCGAUUCGGUUCUUAUACCACUCGAUCGAGAAAAGGUGGGCCAUGGCUGCUGGGGCGGCCUCCAGGUCAGCAAGUUUUUUCAAAAAGGGGGACAACACGUAACGGUUGUUUUACAUGGCAUUCGCGUUGAAGAAGUUCCACAGCAAGGACAUCAGAAGGUGAUGUGGCCAUUGAGAUGAUGUAAGCACCGAAACAGUCGGAUGGGAGUUCUGCUAGAACAUUAAAUGUGUCUACAACAUCUUCAACUCCCUCGGUUUUGGGGAGGUCUGAGCCGAAAAGAGGACGUUUUCCACUGAGUUCAGCUAGAAGCCAUUCUUGGCGUUUUUCUUCUGGCCGUUUACGGUAGGAUCCGAUUUCUAAAUGUUGAGUGAUUGCAUCAAGGACAUCCGUGUGGCACUCGGAUUCUUGUCUUAUAUCAAGUUUAACAAGCGAUAGUCCAAAUGUAGACACUUGUCUUAGAAAAUCAAGAAGGCUUCCAUCAGCCAUCACACGGUCUCCACACGCACAUAGUGAUCUGUAGCAUAGCUCCAGUGGUUCCAAGAACUGUGAAAUUUUAUAAAACAAAAUAAUUAUAGAGAGCGUAAAGAAAGUUUUCAUUAGAGGCAAGGCAUUGGGGUAACAAGUCAAAACGGGUAUUUUUGUCCAGAAGUUUUACAGUUUUUAUAAAUAAUAAGUAUCUCAAAUAUGAUUAGGAAUAUUAUAUUUUUUAAUCACUAUAUACUCUCUCUAGAUGGAUUACAAGGUUCUAUGAAAAGGAAUACAUUUUGGACAAUUUUCGACCCAUUUGACCAAAUUUCCUUUUUAGAUUUAUUUUAUUUAAGUAUUUAACCCAUUUGACCUGUUAGAUAUAAAACAUAACCUGACUUGACCCAUUUACAAAUGGGUCAAAACUUUGAUCUCAUGAUUGUUAAGGUAAGAUGCAUAAACUUUAUUUUUAUGCACACACAUUUAUGACUUGCACAUGGAAGAAAUAUGUUAUCAUAGUUUAUGCUAAUUUCUAACUGCAAAUACAUGGAUAUAAACUUCAGCAAACAAACCCGGAAUGUGCUGGCAGAAAGCAUAAAACGCUAUUCAAUCGGGGGAUUGAUGCAGAAUCUAGCAGGACUCUGUUGAUCAAUAUCCUAUAUAAGUGACCUAGUUCCAUCAAAUGUUCAAUUAGAAAUCGAAUAGGCAGCUAAUAAACCACAAUCUUCAUAUAAAUUAAAGUUUAAAGCAAAGUGGACGAACAACACUAAUGAAAUUUAUAUAAGAACGGAAAAAACAAAAAUAUAAAAGUUUUUUUCUAAAUAGUUAUAAACGGGUUAACGGGUCAACCCACGUUUUCGACACUUUCUCAAGAUCUUUUCAUUCAACCGGGCCAGCCAAAACCAGGAAGAAAGAGCAUGCUGCUCAUCACCUCGUACUCGUGGCUAUGCCACAUCGGUUUUUCCGUGCCCGGAAGAGCUAAAAACACUUCUUCCGUCACUUUGUAUUCCAGCCCGAUCAACUGCGCAUCGACAUCGGGCCGGUUGUAGAUCAGACAUUGUCGCAUUUCUUCCGACAGAGUGUAGCCUUAUUGUGAAUACGAGGUGUCUCGAUAUAAAAGGUGUGUCUUGUAAAAGGUGCAAAAUGUAAUGAACUGAGGUUAUCGGGUUUUACCUUGUUGCAGAUUCGACCAAAACAGAGCAUGCAUCUCGAAGUAGGUAACCAGAAUAGUGAAUAUCAAAUCGGUGAAUGAUAUGUGAAGCUUGAAAAGAGUUAUAACUGCUGUUGUUCAUGAGUAGGGGUGCAAACGAUGUGAUUGCAAUUUCAACGUUCAAUUUCCGUUGAAUAUGAAGCGACCCUUCUGAGGAUCCAGAAAGAAACAAAGGCCACCGUAAAAUCCCUUCCUCUCCUCGCCAGUUCUGGAGAUUUAUUGAAAACAUGAAUUGAAACAUGAAUUGAAACUUGAUUGAAGGAGCUGAAUAGAUUAGAAACGGAAGCAUUCAAUAUGUAGGCUGAAAUCCUCUUUUUACGU